AUAAAGUGUUAAAAUUUCUAACUAAACAAAGAGGAGUAUAUAGAUUAGUGAUGUCAUUGUCCGAUAUCACCAUAGAGAUACAUAUAAAAUACAUAUAAAACUUUGUUUUACUAAAAGCAGAUGGGUAACAAUCUUUGAAU
This is a long non-coding RNA of Chrysoperla carnea, 140 nucleotides long. RefSeq lists it as uncharacterized. Lineage: Eukaryota; Metazoa; Arthropoda; Insecta; Neuroptera; Chrysopidae. The record is from RefSeq and is a predicted model, not a curated record. The transcript is spliced from 3 exons.